UACAUAGGUCUCAAGCGUUGUUCGGAUUCAUUGGGCGUAAAGGGUGCGUAGGCGGCGCGGUAAGUCGGGUGUGAAAUCUCGGAGCUUAACUCCGAAACUGCAUUCGAUACUGCCGUGCUUGAGGACUGGAGAGGAGACUGGAAUUUACGGUGUAGCGGUGAAAUGCGUAGAUAUCUGGAGGAACACCGGUGGCGAAGGCGGCGUUCUGGACUGUAACUGACACUGAGAAACGAAAGCCAGGGUAGCAAACGGG
Molecule: ribosomal RNA, 253 nt
Filed under: uncultured bacterium
Lineage: Bacteria
Description: partial 16S ribosomal RNA
Rfam family: Bacterial small subunit ribosomal RNA
Source: RNAcentral